This 395-nucleotide ribosomal RNA is filed under the name Brevundimonas sp. 36A(2010). RNAcentral's name for it is "bacterial SSU rRNA". It matches the Rfam family "Bacterial small subunit ribosomal RNA", at positions 272 to 684 of the family's 1533-position model. Lineage: Bacteria; Pseudomonadati; Pseudomonadota; Alphaproteobacteria; Caulobacterales; Caulobacteraceae. The record is from RNAcentral. RNAcentral also lists the same sequence under 2 other names.
GGCGACGAUCAGUAGCUGGUCUGAGAGGAUGACCAGCCACACUGGGACUGAGACACGGCCCAGACUCCUACGGGAGGCAGCAGUGGGGAAUCUUGCGCAAUGGGCGAAAGCCUGACGCAGCCAUGCCGCGUGAAUGAUGAAGGUCUUAGGAUUGUAAAAUUCUUUCACCGGGGACGAUAAUGACGGUACCCGGAGAAGAAGCCCCGGCUAACUUCGUGCCAGCAGCCGCGGUAAUACGAAGGGGGUUAGCGUUGCUCGGAAUUACUGGGCGUAAAGGGCGCGUAGGCGGAUCGUUAAGUCAGAGGUGAAAUCCCAGGGCUCAACCCUGGAACUGCCUUUGAUACUGGCGAUCUUGAGUAUGAGAGAGGUAUGUGGAACUCCGAGUGUAGAGGUGA